RNAcentral lists this ribosomal RNA (314 nucleotides) under Microbacterium flavescens. RNAcentral's name for it is "bacterial SSU rRNA". It matches the Rfam family "Bacterial small subunit ribosomal RNA", at positions 8 to 321 of the family's 1533-position model. The record is from RNAcentral. Lineage: Bacteria; Bacillati; Actinomycetota; Actinomycetes; Micrococcales; Microbacteriaceae.
AGAGUUUGAUCCUGGCUCAGGAUGAACGCUGGCGGCGUGCUUAACACAUGCAAGUCGAACGGUGAAGCCCAGCUUGCUGGGUGGAUCAGUGGCGAACGGGUGAGUAACACGUGAGCAAUCUGCCCCUGACUCUGGGAUAAGCGCUGGAAACGGCGUCUAAUACUGGAUAUGAACCGUGGAGGCAUCUUCAACGGUUGGAAAGAUUUUUUGGUCAGGGAUGAGCUCGCGGCCUAUCAGCUUGUUGGUGAGGUAAUGGCUCACCAAGGCGUCGACGGGUAGCCGGCCUGAGAGGGUGACCGGCCACACUGGGACUG